This 253-nucleotide ribosomal RNA is filed under the name uncultured bacterium. RNAcentral's name for it is "partial 16S ribosomal RNA". It matches the Rfam family "Bacterial small subunit ribosomal RNA", at positions 524 to 776 of the family's 1533-position model. The record is from RNAcentral.
UACGAGUGCCCCAAGCGUUAUCCGGAAUCAUUGGGCGUAAAGGGUGUGUAGGUGGUUGUGUUAGUCUUCUGUCAAAUUCUUCGGCUUAACCGGGGGUCCGCAGAGGAAACGGCACAACUAGAGGAUGCGAGAGGUGAACGGAACUCAUGGAGUAGGGGUGAAAUCCGUUGAUAUCAUGGGGAACACCAAAUGCGAAGGCAGUUCACUGGCGCACUCCUGACACUGAGACACGAAAGCGUAGGUAGCGAAUGGG